CCUACGGGUGGCAGCAGUGGGGAAUCUUGGACAAUGGGCGCAACCUGAUCCAGCCAUGCCGCGUGAGUGAAGAAGGCCUUAGGGUUGUAAAGCUCUUUUACCAGGGACGCGGUACCUGGAGAAUAAGCCCCGGCAAACUUCGUGCCAGCAGCCGCGGUAAUACGAAGGGGGCUAGCGUUGUUCGGAAUUACUGGGCGUAAAGCGCACGUAGGCGGGUCGUUAAGUCAGGGGUGAAAUCCCGGAGCUCAACUCCGAACUGCCUUUGAUACUGGCGAUCUAGAGAUCGAGAGAGGUGAGUGGAAUUCCGAGUGUAGAGGUGAAAUUCGUAGAUAUUCGGAAGAACACCAGUGGCGAAGGCGGCUCACUGGCUGAACUGACGCUGAGGUGCGAAACGUGGGGAGCAAACAGGAUUAGAUACCCGUGUAGUC
This 428-nucleotide ribosomal RNA is filed under the name uncultured bacterium. Its description in RNAcentral is "partial 16S ribosomal RNA". It matches the Rfam family "Bacterial small subunit ribosomal RNA", at positions 338 to 795 of the family's 1533-position model. The record is from RNAcentral.